GCGCUAGUGGCGGAAUUGGUAGACGCACUGGUUUUAGGUACCAGCGGGAAACCGUGGGGGUUCGAGUCCCUCCUGGCGCACCA
This 83-nucleotide transfer RNA is filed under the name compost metagenome. Its description in RNAcentral is "tRNA-Leu". It matches the Rfam family "tRNA". Rfam says of the family: Transfer RNA (tRNA) molecules are approximately 80 nucleotides in length. Their secondary structure includes four short double-helical elements and three loops (D, anti-codon, and T loops). Further hydrogen bonds mediate the characteristic L-shaped molecular structure. tRNAs have two regions of fundamental functional importance: the anti-codon, which is responsible for specific mRNA codon recognition, and the 3' end, to which the tRNAs corresponding amino acid is attached (by aminoacyl-tRNA synthetases). tRNAs cope with the degeneracy of the genetic code in two manners: having more than one tRNA (with a specific anti-codon) for a particular amino acid; and 'wobble' base-pairing, i.e. permitting non-standard base-pairing at the 3rd anti-codon position. The record is from RNAcentral.